AAGUUUCACAUUUGGUUUCCUCAUCACAAGUUUUGCUUUUGUCAAAUAUGAUAGUUUUUCUAAGAUUCUCUUUUUAUCUUUUCGAUGCUACAAAACAUGUUUUUGUAAUAUUCUUGCUGUAUACGAUCAGAUUUUGGUCUAGUACAAGGGUUUAAUCUCCCACAAAUGUGGCGACCUACAGUUUAAACUUCAGCCGGGAUAAAUGCCCACAUUUAUUGUGACAUAGUGCCUUGAACAUGGUUACUUUCUGGGAUGGGAACCUAUGAAAAACACAAUUGUAAUCUUGCACAAUUAUCUUUUAUAACUCCUGCACUUUGGCAAGGUAA
RNAcentral lists this long non-coding RNA (326 nucleotides) under Trifolium pratense (red clover). RNAcentral describes it as "long non-coding RNA (TPRA_LNC000100)". The record is from RNAcentral. Lineage: Eukaryota; Viridiplantae; Streptophyta; Magnoliopsida; Fabales; Fabaceae.